Molecule: ribosomal RNA, 500 nt
Filed under: uncultured Glomeromycotina
Lineage: Eukaryota; Fungi; Glomeromycota
Description: partial small subunit ribosomal RNA
Rfam family: Eukaryotic small subunit ribosomal RNA
Source: RNAcentral
CCAAUAGCGUAUAUUAAAGUUGUUGCAGUUAAAAAGCUCGUAGUUGAAUUUCGGGAUCAAUUUAUUGGUCGUGCCAACGGUACGCACUGGUACAAUUGGUUUCUCCCUUCUGACGAAGCAUGAUGUCAUUAACUUGAUGUCGUGGGGAAUCAGGACUGUUACUUUGAAAAAAUUAGAGUGUUUAAAGCAGGCUUUGGCUUGAAUACAUUAGCAUGGAAUAAUGAAAUAGGACGUUUGAUCUUAUUUCGUUGGUUUCUAAGAUCGACGUAAUGAUUAAUAGGGAUAGUUGGGGGCAUUAGUAUUCAAUUGUCAGAGGUGAAAUUCUUGGAUUUAUUGAAGACUAACUACUGCGAAAGCAUUUGCCAAGGAUGUUUUCAUUAAUCAAGAACGAAAGUUAGGGGAUCGAAGACGAUCAGAUACCGUCGUAGUCUUAACCAUAAACUAUGCCGACUAGGGAUCGGAUGAUGUUAAUUUUUUAAUGACUCAUUCGGCGCCUUACG